RNAcentral lists this microRNA precursor (101 nucleotides) under Strongylocentrotus purpuratus (purple sea urchin). RNAcentral's name for it is "microRNA spu-mir-2013 precursor". The stretch from base 8 to 90 matches the Rfam family "mir-2013 microRNA precursor family". The record is from miRBase by way of RNAcentral. Lineage: Eukaryota; Metazoa; Echinodermata; Echinoidea; Camarodonta; Strongylocentrotidae.
UGAUGUCUACUGUUCUACGCCGCUACAUCUAGUUGCAUUGUGACGUCUGUUUCAGGGAAAUGCAGCAUGAUGUAGUGGUGUAGCUCAGUAAGACCAUUCCA